GCCGCAAUAGCUCAGUUGGUAGAGCAUCGCAUUCGUAAUGCGGGGGUCGGGGGUUCAAAUCCCUCUUGCGGCACCA
Molecule: transfer RNA, 76 nt
Filed under: Sphingomonadales bacterium
Lineage: Bacteria; Pseudomonadati; Pseudomonadota; Alphaproteobacteria; Sphingomonadales
Also listed under: 1 other name
Description: tRNA-Thr
Rfam family: tRNA
About the family: Transfer RNA (tRNA) molecules are approximately 80 nucleotides in length.
Source: RNAcentral